Molecule: ribosomal RNA, 119 nt
Filed under: Pteropus alecto (black flying fox)
Lineage: Eukaryota; Metazoa; Chordata; Mammalia; Chiroptera; Pteropodidae
Source: RNAcentral
GUCUACAGCCAUGCUACCCUGAACAAGCCCAAUCCCAUCUGAUCCUGGAAACUAAGCAGGGUCAGGCCUGGUUAGUAUGUGGAUGGGAGACCACCUAGGAAGAUCAGGUGUUAUAGGCG